Molecule: transfer RNA, 77 nt
Filed under: Rhodospirillaceae bacterium
Lineage: Bacteria; Pseudomonadati; Pseudomonadota; Alphaproteobacteria; Rhodospirillales; Rhodospirillaceae
Also listed under: 1 other name
Description: tRNA-Pro
Rfam family: tRNA
About the family: Transfer RNA (tRNA) molecules are approximately 80 nucleotides in length.
Source: RNAcentral
CGGGGAGUAGCGCAGCCAGGUAGCGCAUCUGCUUUGGGAGCAGAGGGUCGGAAGUUCGAAUCUUCUCUCCCCGACCA